UACGGAGGGGGCAAGCGUUGUUCGGAAUUACUGGGCGUAAAGGGCGCGCAGGCGGCUGCUCAAGUCAGGCGUGAAAGGCCUGGGCUCAACCCGGGAACUGCGUCCGAUACUGGAAGGCUUGAAUCCGGGAGAGGGAUGCGGAAUUCCAGGUGUAGCGGUGAAAUGCGUAGAUAUCUGGAGGAACACCGGUGGCGAAGGCGGCAUCCUGGACCGGCAUUGACGCUGAGGCGCGAAAGCCAGGGGAGCAAACGGG
This 253-nucleotide ribosomal RNA is filed under the name uncultured bacterium. RNAcentral's name for it is "partial 16S ribosomal RNA". It matches the Rfam family "Bacterial small subunit ribosomal RNA", at positions 524 to 776 of the family's 1533-position model. The record is from RNAcentral.